Molecule: transfer RNA, 75 nt
Filed under: Cordylochernes scorpioides
Lineage: Eukaryota; Metazoa; Arthropoda; Arachnida; Pseudoscorpiones; Chernetidae
Description: tRNA-Thr
Rfam family: tRNA
About the family: Transfer RNA (tRNA) molecules are approximately 80 nucleotides in length. Their secondary structure includes four short double-helical elements and three loops (D, anti-codon, and T loops).
Source: RNAcentral
GUCCAUGGUAGCCUAGUGGUCAUGGCAUCUGCUCGGUAAGCGGAAGGUCGUGGGUUCGAUUCCCAUCCCUUGACA